GGUUAUAGCUCAGUGGUAGAGUGCUUGCCUAACAUGCAUGAGGCACUGGGUUUGAUUCUCAGCACUG
This 67-nucleotide transfer RNA is filed under the name Marmota monax (woodchuck). Its description in RNAcentral is "tRNA.Val". The stretch from base 6 to 62 matches the Rfam family "tRNA", at positions 8 to 63 of the family's 71-position model. From Rfam's summary of the family: Transfer RNA (tRNA) molecules are approximately 80 nucleotides in length. Their secondary structure includes four short double-helical elements and three loops (D, anti-codon, and T loops). Lineage: Eukaryota; Metazoa; Chordata; Mammalia; Rodentia; Sciuridae. The record is from RNAcentral.